UNAUGGGCGCAGGCCUGAACCAGCCAGUAGCGUGAAGGAUGACUGCCCUAUGGGUUGUAAACUUCUUUUAUAAAGGAAUAAAGUCGGGUAUGGAUACCCGUUUGCAUGUACUUUAUGAAUAAGGAUCGGCUAACUCCGUGCCAGCAGCCGCGGUAAUACGGAGGAUCCGAGCGUUAUCCGGAUUUAUUGGGUUUAAAGGGAGCGUAGGUGGAUUGUUAAGUCAGUUGUGAAAGUUUGCGGCUCAACCGUAAAAUUGCAGUUGAAACUGGCAGUCUUGAGUACAGUAGAGGUGGGCGGAAUUCGUGGUGUAGCGGUGAAAUGCUUAGAUAUCACGAAGAACUCCGAUUGCGAAGGCAGCUCACUAGACUGUUACUGACACUGAUGCUCGAAAGUGUGGGUAUCAAACAGGAUUAGAUACCCUGGUAGUCCAAGGGCGAAUUC
This 441-nucleotide ribosomal RNA is filed under the name uncultured bacterium. RNAcentral describes it as "SSU rRNA". It matches the Rfam family "Bacterial small subunit ribosomal RNA", at positions 369 to 808 of the family's 1533-position model. The record is from RNAcentral.